Molecule: ribosomal RNA, 465 nt
Filed under: uncultured Klebsiella sp.
Lineage: Bacteria; Pseudomonadati; Pseudomonadota; Gammaproteobacteria; Enterobacterales; Enterobacteriaceae
Description: bacterial SSU rRNA
Rfam family: Bacterial small subunit ribosomal RNA
Source: RNAcentral
CCUACGGGUGGCUGCAGUGGGGAAUAUUGCACAAUGGGCGCAAGCCUGAUGCAGCCAUGCCGCGUGUGUGAAGAAGGCCUUCGGGUUGUAAAGCACUUUCAGCGGGGAGGAAGGCGUUAAGGUUAAUAACCUUGGCGAUUGACGUUACCCGCAGAAGAAGCACCGGCUAACUCCGUGCCAGCAGCCGCGGUAAUACGGAGGGUGCAAGCGUUAAUCGGAAUUACUGGGCAUAAAGCGCACGCAGGCGGUCUGUCAAGUCGGAUGUGAAAUCCCCGGGCUCAACCUGGGAACUGCAUUCGAAACUGGCAGGCUAGAGUCUUGUAGAGGGGGGUAGAAUUCCAGGUGUAGCGGUGAAAUGCGUAGAGAUCUGGAGGAAUACCGGUGGCGAAGGCGGCCCCCUGGACAAAGACUGACGCUCAGGUGCGAAAGCGUGGGGAGCAAACAGGAUUAGAUACCCCGGUAGUC